Molecule: small nucleolar RNA, 154 nt
Organism: Rhododendron vialii
Lineage: Eukaryota; Viridiplantae; Streptophyta; Magnoliopsida; Ericales; Ericaceae
Product: small nucleolar RNA snoR134
Exons: 1
Source: RefSeq, a predicted model, not a curated record
UCGCACGAUCUCUCCCGGGCUUCUCUGAUCAACUUUCAUGACGAAGAAAGCCCCAAAGCUCGUGCUACAACCCACGCCGUCUGUGUUGCAGAUUAGCCCUCUGUACCUUUACUUUCCCAUGGCUCUUUCUGUGUCGAAUUAUACGGCUACAUUC